CAGUUUUUAGAAGUUGAUUUAACUGGGUUUGGCAUCUCUGUGCAAGAGGAGGGCACAGCUAGUUGACCGUCCUCAUCAGAGAAGUAAAACUUUCAAAGGGACCAGUCCAGCUAGACUACAUUUCCCAGCACCCCCCGCCCCCCACAGUUAGGUGGGGCCAUAUGGCGGAGUUCUGGCCAGCGGAUGUGGGUGGAAGGAAUCUCUGGAACUUCUAGGACUCAUCCUUGUUCCUGCUCUUCCCACCUCCAGCAAGAACACGGGCAUAGGGAAUAGUGGGGUGUCAGCAUCAUCUGUCAUAAGAGGGACAACUUCAGGCUCAGAUUCCAAGUGAGAAUCUUGGGGUUCACCCUCCUUGGACUCCAUAUCUUUUGUCUACUCCUUAGUUGAUGGAAUGGAAUGUGCUGAUUGGCUUAAACAAACAACGGACAUCCUGAUGCAACUGAUGCAGAAGACAAUCUUAGGAAUAUCAUUUGUCUCCAUUCCCUCAGAAGAGAAGCUUUCAGACAUGUUGUGGAGCAGCAGUCCUCCACCCUGGCUGCCUGUCAACGUUACCUGUGGAGCUUUUAGAUAUACAAACGCCAGCUCCAGCUUCUGAGUUCCUGGCAGCAGGGCCCUGGGCAUCUGUAUGUUUAAACAACCUCCCAGGGAUGCUGAUGCACAGCCAGGGCUGCGCGCCAUGGCUGGAGAAGAAUCAUUUCAUGGAAUUCACCAGAAGAGAAGUAACCAUUUUUUUUCACAAGUGGAAGAGCAGAGUUAAAUAUGCCAUGAUGUGUGGAGGAAUCCAUGCCAAUGUAUCCUCCUCGUGCUUUUAGUUUGUCCAUGGAAAAAUUGCCUUCCAUGAAACCAGUCCCUGGUGCCAAAAAGUUGGGGACCACUGGAACAGAGAGAUUUGGAAUGAAGAGCUGUCUCUAGCAAAAUAAAGUCAAUGACAGAAACAUGUGAAAAACUUCUUGGAGGGUUUUGUAUAGUACAACUUCAAUUGAUUGCUUUAAUUUUAGCUUUGUGAAUAUACAGCUCAUAUGAAAUAAAGAAAAAAUGUUGCAGA
This is a non-coding RNA of Microcebus murinus (gray mouse lemur), 1045 nucleotides long. The record is from RefSeq and is a predicted model, not a curated record. NCBI's taxonomy places the organism in Eukaryota, Metazoa, Chordata, Mammalia, Primates, Cheirogaleidae.